GGAUACCUGGCGUAUGCGCCAGGCAGACAGUCCUCGAGCCGAUUAUUUUUAACCGGGGGUUUCUCGUUACUGUUGGUGUGCAUAUCCGGCUCCGCCGGAAAGCCUUAUACAGUACAGGAACCACCACCUUGAACCGUCGGGUUCAGGGCAGCACUGUCAGCGGUACGCCAGGAAUCCA
This 178-nucleotide non-coding RNA is filed under the name Pseudomonadales bacterium. Its description in RNAcentral is "6S RNA". It matches the Rfam family "6S / SsrS RNA". From Rfam's summary of the family: E. coli 6S RNA was the first non coding RNA to be sequenced, but its function was unknown until recently. Lineage: Bacteria; Pseudomonadati; Pseudomonadota; Gammaproteobacteria; Pseudomonadales. The record is from RNAcentral. RNAcentral also lists the same sequence under 1 other name.